UCGACUACCCGAGCUCUCCUCUUUCCCCGAUCUUUUCUUCUCCCCUUCCUCUGUUCUCUCUCGCGGACAGGCGACGGCGACGGGAGCAAGGCGACGGCGACGGGAGCAAGGCUCCAGCUCCGGCGAUCCUUCUCCGCCGGCAUCGAGGCCUAUUGAUCUCAGAUCCGGCCGACACCCUUCCUCUCUGGGUCGGAGACACGGCGUCGCGUCUCCUCUAGCCGAUAGCCGACGCCAUUAGAUCGAGCCAGAUCCACUCGAUCGCCGGCGUGGAGGAGGCAGUUAGGGCUCCGGUGGUCACCGACGCACCUUCUCUUCUUGGCGGCUGAAUUAGGUCACGGAUCGGAGGGGAUUAGUGAGUUGUGCUUGGGCUGUAGGGCAGAGAUUACAUGUGUUGAUGCUUGAUCAGUAGUCUUCCUGUUUGAUUUCAAUCUUGAUCCGAUCAAUUGAGAGUACUGGAAUUCAACAUGCUGCUGUUCUGUGGAGGUGUUCUUGAUUAAAGGAAGCAUCGGACUACUGUGGAUCAAUGGAUGAGGGUUGUGAGGUUCUGUGGAUCCGAAGUUCUAUUGCUGUGGGAUUGUUUUGGUUCCAGCAGCAUCUCUUUGGCUUCAGAUCAAGAGUAGAGCUUGGGAAUUAAGGACUUUGAUUCGAGACAGGCGUCUCGACGUUGACUUCGGAUUUGGGAUUGUACCUUCUAUU
This is a long non-coding RNA of Zingiber officinale, 696 nucleotides long. RefSeq lists it as uncharacterized. The transcript is spliced from 3 exons. Lineage: Eukaryota; Viridiplantae; Streptophyta; Magnoliopsida; Zingiberales; Zingiberaceae. The record is from RefSeq and is a predicted model, not a curated record.